Molecule: non-coding RNA, 21 nt
Filed under: Arabidopsis thaliana (thale cress)
Lineage: Eukaryota; Viridiplantae; Streptophyta; Magnoliopsida; Brassicales; Brassicaceae
Source: RNAcentral
CCAAAACCUCUUGAUAUUCAA